RNAcentral lists this small RNA (76 nucleotides) under Flavobacterium gillisiae. Its description in RNAcentral is "Flavo-1 RNA". It matches the Rfam family "Flavo-1 RNA". The record is from RNAcentral. Lineage: Bacteria; Pseudomonadati; Bacteroidota; Flavobacteriia; Flavobacteriales; Flavobacteriaceae.
UGCUAGCCCAGAUGGAAACGGCAUCCUAUUGUGCAGGUGUUCGGCACAAUAGAUAGAGUGGACAGCUGGAAAUUGC